This 496-nucleotide ribosomal RNA is filed under the name uncultured bacterium. RNAcentral describes it as "partial 16S ribosomal RNA". It matches the Rfam family "Bacterial small subunit ribosomal RNA", at positions 29 to 507 of the family's 1533-position model. The record is from RNAcentral.
AUGCACGCUGGCGGCGUGCCUAAUACAUGCCAGUCGAGCGAACAGACGAGGAGCUUGCUCCUCUGACGUUAGCGGCGGACGGGUGAGUAACACGUGGAUAACCUACCUAUAAGACUGGGAUAACUUCGGGAAACCGGAGCUAAUACCGGAUAAUAUAUUGAACCGCAUGGUUCAAUAGUGAAAGACGGUUUUGCUGUCCCUUAUAAUUGAAUCCGCGCCGCAUUAGCUAGUUGGUAAGGUAACGGCUUACCAAGGCGACGAUGCGUAGCCGACCUGAGAGGGUGAUCGGCCACACUGGAACUGAGACACGGUCCAGACUCCUACGGGAGGCAGCAGUAGGGAAUCUUCCGCAAUGGGCGAAAGCCUGACGGAGCAACGCCGCGUGAGUGAUGAAGGUCUUCGGAUCGUAAAACUCUGUUAUUAGGGAAGAACAAAUGUGUAAGUAACUAUGCACGUCUUGACGGUACCUAAUCAGAAAGCCACGGCUAACUACGUG